Molecule: ribosomal RNA, 605 nt
Filed under: Apiotrichum brassicae
Lineage: Eukaryota; Fungi; Basidiomycota; Tremellomycetes; Trichosporonales; Trichosporonaceae
Description: partial large subunit ribosomal RNA
Rfam family: Eukaryotic large subunit ribosomal RNA
Source: RNAcentral
UCUGUAUUCCUUAGUACGGCGAGUGAACCGGGAAAAGCUCAAAUUUGAAAUCUGGCUGUCUUCGAUAGUCCGAGUUGUAAUCUAUAGAAGCGUUUUCCGUGCUGAACUGUGUAAAAGUCCCUUGGAACAGGGUAUCAAAGAGGGUGAUAAUCCCGUACUUGACACAAUCAUCAGUGCUCUGUGAUACGCUCUCUACGAGUCGAGUUGUUUGGGAAUGCAGCUCAAAAUGGGUGGUAAAUUCCAUCUAAGGCUAAAUAUUGGCGAGAGACCGAUAGCGAACAAGUACCGUGAGGGAAAGAUGAAAAGCACUUUGGAAAGAGAGUUAAACAGUACGUGAAAUUGUUAAAAGGGAAACGAUUGAAGUCAGUCGUGUUCAUUGGAUUCAGCUAGUUCUUCUAGUCUACUUCUUUUGAACGGGUCAACAUCAGUUUUGUCCGGUGGAUAAAGGUAUUAGGAAUGUGACUUCCUCGGAAGUGUUAUAGCCUAGUAUCACAUACACUGGGGGAGACUGAGGACUGCAGCUCGCCUUUUGGCCGGGGUUCGCCCACGUUCGAGCUUAGGAUGUUGACAUAAUGGCUUUAAACGACCCCGUCUUUGAAACACGG